Molecule: long non-coding RNA, 1711 nt
Organism: Rosa chinensis
Lineage: Eukaryota; Viridiplantae; Streptophyta; Magnoliopsida; Rosales; Rosaceae
Exons: 4
Source: RefSeq, a predicted model, not a curated record
UUCUUCUAGAGUCAUCUACUCUAAUCCCUCACACCCAAGUCAAAAUCCACCACUAUGAAAAAGAGCAAGAGAGUUGUGAGCAGCAAGAACAGUGUUGACGACCAUAGCUUCCAAAACAGAGCCGACCCAGAAGCUGGUCUUCUCAGACGAGUACAAAGCCACCAUCUUUGCUGCAGAACCAAGCUCAGAAGCACAACCCACAAUGCAAAAAUCUCAAAGGUGAUAGAUGGUGCGAUCUGGAUUUGAUAAUCUGUGUUUCUUUCUUUUGGUAUUGUAUCCAGUGGUCUGCGCGUUGAGUAAUUGGGCGCAUCGCAAAAGCUUGUUUAGAUUUCGAUUUGGUAGAAUAAAUAUCAACAGAGUUUAAGCUGAUUUCCUUGAAUGUGUUAUGUGCUUUUUCAGUUUUGUGGUUGUUAUAAUCGGUAUUUGUUUCUUUUUGUUUUGUAUUCAGUGUUUUGCAUUUUUAUUAGAACCAGUUUGUGACGAGACAAUUGGGUUGAGAACAAGUAGAACAGGUGUGGUAUUUGAUUGUGUUCAUGUUUCUUUAAUUGAUUAGUUGAUAAUUGUGUGUGUUCUGAGGUUAUCAAGGUCAGUCACUGAGAUCAACACUGAUAAAAUUAUACGGUGAGGAACUAUAGUAUGGUAUGAACUAUCAGAGAAAGAUUCUAACUCAAUACAAUCAGUACAACGCAAUAAAGAUUAAUCUUUUUGUCAAAUACUUAUGAUCAUUUAGUUUACUGAUUUGUAUUUUUCCUUUUGAACAGCUGCCAAUCUCAGAUUUUGCUGAUAAUCCAUAGCGAAAGUAUAUGAUUUGGCAGCAGUCAAGUACUGGGGAACAUCAACUUUUACAUAUUUUCCGGUGUCUAAUUACAAGAAUGAAAUUGAUCUAAUGACCACUCUAACAAAAGGAGGAUACUUGGCCUUUCUAAGAAGAAGAAGCACGGGCUUUUCAAGUGGCGUAUCCAAAUACAGAGAAGUUGCAAGUGUCAUUUCGUAGUAUAAGAGCUUAGAUAAGUAAGGGAAGCUGCAACAUGAUCCGAACCAAGUUAUUUAUAUGGAAUUGAUUUCACUAGCCAUGAAUGAGAAUAGAUAAAGAGAGAUGAGGGGUGCUUUUCCACCAAUUAGAGAACCAUUACGAAAUUCUCUGAAUCUGAUGCAAGGGUUCUCUUUAGCCAUCUGAUUCAGGUAGUUUUAUACUAUCAUGAAAAUGGAAUUCUCCACACAGAUUUGAAGCCUGAGAAUAUUCUGUUGGACAAAAGCCUCUUCAUCUCCCUAUUAAAUUGGCAGACUUUGGUUUUGCAACUUACAUCAGGCCUGGUUAGAGUUGCACGGUUUGGUGGUGAGUCCAUUUUAUAUAGCGCCUAAGGUACUUGCUGGGGGCUAAUGGUUGGAGUGCAUUGGGGUAAUUCUUUACAUUCUUCUUAGCAGAAUACCACCAUUUUGGGGAAAGACAAAGUCAAGCAUAUUUGAUGCUGUUAGGACAGCUGAUCUGAGGUUCCCAUCUGAUCCUCGGAAUGACAUCACUAAAAGGCUCACUGCUCACUAGGUUUUAGGUAGUUUAAGGAAUGAUUGCACUAACAGAGUUUGUUCAAAUGUUGAUCUCAGAUGCUAAAAGCUUGUAGCUGUUAAACACAGUUGAUUUUGUUACUGUUUUCCUUAUUUGGCUUCUGAAAUAAAAUGUUUUAUAAAUGGAUCUAUGUAGUUCAGAACUAUA